GAUGAACGCUGGCGGCGUGCCUAAUACAUGCAAGUCGAGCGAACAGAUGAGGAGCUUGCUCCUCUGACGUUAGCGGCGGACGGGUGAGUAACACGUGGAUAACCUACCUAUAAGACUGGGAUAACUACGGGAAACCGGAGCUAAUACCGGAUAAUAUAUUGAACCGCAUGGUUCAAUAGUGAAAGACGGUUUUGCUGUCACUUAUAGAUGGAUCCGCGCCGCAUUAGCUAGUUGGUAAGGUAACGGCUUACCAAGGCAACGAUGCGUAGCCGACCUGAGAGGGUGAUCGGCCACACUGGAACUGAGACACGGUCCAGACUCCUACGGGAGGCGGCAGUAGGGAAUCUUCCGCAAUGGGCGAAAGCCUGACGGAGCAACGCCGCGUGAGUGAUGAAGGUCUUCGGAUCGUAAAACUCUGUUAUUAGGGAAGAACAAAUGUGUAAGUAACUAUGCACGUCUUGACGGUACCUAAUCAGAAAGCCACGGCUAACUACGUG
Molecule: ribosomal RNA, 497 nt
Filed under: uncultured bacterium
Lineage: Bacteria
Description: partial 16S ribosomal RNA
Rfam family: Bacterial small subunit ribosomal RNA
Source: RNAcentral